GCGGCGAGGAGGGGAAUUUCCUUGUGCCUCCAUUCCCGGGAGGGGGGAGCGGCGUUGGAGGCCACCGUUUCCAGGAACAUAUUGGGAAUAUAUUUGAGGUGUGGGAAUAAGUAUCUUUGGAAGACCAGGCACUUUAUGCAGUGUUGAGCUCAGGAGGCAGUGAGUGUUAAG
This 171-nucleotide small RNA is filed under the name Pan troglodytes (chimpanzee). RNAcentral describes it as "processed transcript". The record is from RNAcentral. Lineage: Eukaryota; Metazoa; Chordata; Mammalia; Primates; Hominidae.